GGCUCUUUGAAUUAUUUUUAUAAAGAGUCAGGCCUGCCCAGUGAAAUUUACUUUAACGGCCGCGGUACUCUGACCGUGCAAAGGUAGCAUAAUCAUUUGCCUUAUAAUUGAAGGCUAGUAUGAAUGGUUUGACGAGAGCAGCACUGUCUCUUUUUUAUUUUCAAGAACUUAACCUUUAGGUGAAGAGGCCUAAAUUUUAUUGAAGGACAAGAAGACCCUGUCGAGCUUAAAAGACACCAUAGAAGUUUAUAUAUGUUUAAAUAAAUUUUCUGUUAAGCUUUUUAGUUGGGGCGACUAAGGAACAAAAAAAGCUUCUUAAACAAAACAAACAUUCAAGUUUUGAUCCGGUGAUAGCCGAUUUAAGGAAUUAGUUACCGCAGGGAUAACAGCAUAAUCUCUCUUGAGAGACCUAAUCGAAAGAGGGGGUUGUGACCUCGAUGUUGGACUAAAAUAUCCUAAAGAUGCAGAAGUCUUUAAGGGUCGGUCUGUUCGACCGUUAAAAUUUU
Molecule: ribosomal RNA, 506 nt
Filed under: Leptoxis picta
Lineage: Eukaryota; Metazoa; Mollusca; Gastropoda; Pleuroceridae
Description: partial 16S ribosomal RNA
Rfam family: Bacterial large subunit ribosomal RNA
Source: RNAcentral